GCUGGCGGCAUGCCUAAUACAUGCAAAUCGAACGAAGCCUUUUAGGCUUAGUGGUGAACGGGUGAGUAACACGUAUCCAACCUACCCUUAAGUUGGGGAUAACUAGUCGAAAGAUUAGCUAAUACCGAAUAAUAACAUCAAUAUCGCAUGAGAAGAUGUAGAAAGUCGCGUUUGCGACGCUUUUGGAUGGGGGUGCGACGUAUCAGAUAGUUGGUGAGGUAAUGGCUCACCAAGUCAAUGACGCGUAGCUGUACUGAGAGGUAGAACAGCCACAAUGGGACUGAGACACGGCCCAUACUCCUACGGGAGGCAGCAGUAGGGAAUUUUUCACAAUGGGCGCAAGCCUUAUGAAGCAAUGCCGCGUGGACGAUGAAGGUCUUAUAGAUUGUAAAGUUCUUUUAUAUGGGAAGAAACGCUAAGAUAGGAAAUGAUUUUAGUUUGACUGUACCAUUUGAAUAAGUAUCGGCUAACUAUGUGCCAGCAGCCGCGGUAAUACAUAGGAUGCAAGCGUUAUCCGGAUUUACUGGGCGUAAAACGAGCGCAGGCGGGUUUGUAAGUUUGGUAUUAAAUCUAGAUGCUUAACGUCUAGCUGUAUCAAAAACUGUAAACCUAGAGUGUAGUAGGGAGUUGGGGAACUCCAUGUGGAGCGGUAAAAUGCGUAGAUAUAUGGAAGAACACCGGUGGCGAAGGCGCCAACUUGGACUAU
This 706-nucleotide ribosomal RNA is filed under the name uncultured Ureaplasma sp. RNAcentral describes it as "bacterial SSU rRNA". It matches the Rfam family "Bacterial small subunit ribosomal RNA", at positions 35 to 737 of the family's 1533-position model. Lineage: Bacteria; Bacillati; Mycoplasmatota; Mycoplasmoidales; Mycoplasmoidaceae. The record is from RNAcentral.